This is a long non-coding RNA of Erinaceus europaeus (western European hedgehog), 547 nucleotides long. RefSeq lists it as uncharacterized. NCBI's taxonomy places the organism in Eukaryota, Metazoa, Chordata, Mammalia, Eulipotyphla, Erinaceidae. The transcript is spliced from 2 exons. The record is from RefSeq and is a predicted model, not a curated record.
UAUGAUGGACCCACUGGAGUUCCCCGACUCCAUGCACAAGGAUCAGGAUUGGAGCCGCGUUUGUUCCCCACCUGCAGGGGGAAGAGAGCCAGGCUGGAUGGACUUACCUGCCCAGUGGAUGUGGCUGUGAACUGGAAGCUCCCCAGCAUCAUCCGCAGCAGCGACAGGAACUCCUCGUCCUCAUAGUCAAAGCGGUCGCCGAAGACGAUGGAGCUGAUGACGUUGGACACGGUCCGGCUCAGGAAAAAGGUGGGGUCGAUGAAGGCGCCUGGGGGACCAGGGAUGGGGGUGUUGAGAAGAGUCACCUGGACCGUCUGCAACGCUGAGCCCAGAGCAGGAGCAUGGUGGGUGUGGGGAGGGCUGCUCUCUCUCCUUGCUCCUGUCUCCUGUAUCCCAGCUGCCCGGCUCACCCUUCGUGGCCCUGAAGGACUCGAUGAGGAAGCCCGCCUCCUCCUGGAUGCGCUCCUCGAUGCCGCGCUUGCCGACGCCGAAGUCCCGCAGGGUGGUGAUGGAGAAGCGCCUCAGCUGCUUGGCACGCUCGCCGUUG